Molecule: ribosomal RNA, 322 nt
Filed under: uncultured bacterium
Lineage: Bacteria
Description: bacterial SSU rRNA
Rfam family: Bacterial small subunit ribosomal RNA
Source: RNAcentral
GAUGAACGCUAGCGGGAGGCCUAAUACAUGCAAGUCGAACGGUAAAUGGUAGCAAUACUAUGAGAGUGGCGUACGGGUGCGUAACGCGUACACAACCUGCCUUGUACUGGGGGAGUAGCCUCGGGAAACUGAGAUUAAUACCCCACUAAUUUUACGUAAGUAGCAUUACUUUGUAAUUAAAGCUCCGGCGGUACAAGAUGGGUGUGCGUCCGAUUAGGUAGUUGGUGAGGUAACGGCUCACCAAGCCGACGAUCGGUAGCUGGUCUGAGAGGACGAUCAGCCACACGGGCACUGAGACACGGGCCCGACUCCUACGGGAGGC